AUGGAGGCACAGUCUCUGAAGGAGGGGGGAGGGAUGGAGGAGGAUAAGGAGGCUGAGCCAGGUCUCUGGAUGGGUAUUGGGAUUAGGCAUUGUAAAGGAUGGAUGGAGCAGGCUGCACGCAGCUGUGUGUCCUCAGAGAGGGCAGACUCUUUCCAUCCCCAGCAUGGCAGAAAACACACGAUGGAAAAAGUCUUGAAAGAGAGGAAGGAAGGGAUCUGGUUUGGAUCAUUGCUGUGGCGAUGUCUGCAGAAUAAGGUGUUUAUUUUGGAAAGGGCUCUGUUUACAUGUCUGUUUUUAUGCGACACCCACAUAUGGAGAUGUUUGCUUUGCCGGGACCUCACAUUCCUCCCCGCACACACAACACACACGUCCCAGCUGGGACAAGUGGGGGGUCCCUUCGCUCCCAGGUCCCCACCAGCCAGCCCCCGUCCCUCCCUCGGGCAGCUGGGACAAAGCACGGUCACGCUGCAAAAUGUUUCCAGCCAAAGAGUGUCCAAAGUCUCUCAAAGUGCAGUCCCCACCACCCUGCAUGUCAGUGGACGGAUGUUAUGUCCCUCACAUUUAAGGCACCUCGGUCACAGCGCUGCAGAAGCCCCUUCUUCCUCUCCUGGCCCACGGUCACCCUCUCAUGGUGGCCACAGGUCAGCCAGAGCAUCCCCUCACGUUGGAGCUGCACGAGCACAGAUCCCACUGCAAUUCUUCCUCAUCUCCAUGCUGAGGUGUUGGACAAGCAGGUGAGCUGACUUCCUCUUCUGAGCAACUUCUGCCUGUUGUUGGCGGCACCACCAUUCAGCUGGCGGCUGCCAGGCAUGUCUGAGGAGAAAUUCAUGUUUUUGUGGCCUCUUGCCCUACGUGUGGUCCCUCUCUGACACAGUGCCACCAUCC
Molecule: long non-coding RNA, 885 nt
Filed under: Anser brachyrhynchus (Pink-footed goose)
Lineage: Eukaryota; Metazoa; Chordata; Aves; Anseriformes; Anatidae
Description: lncRNA (ENSABRG00000003895.1)
Source: RNAcentral